CCUACGGGAGGCUGCAGUGAGGAAUAUUGGUCAAUGGCCGAGAGGCUGAACCAGCCAAGCCGCGUGAGGGAAGACGGCCCUAUGGGUUGUAAACCUCUUUUGUCGGAGAACAAAACCCGGGACGUGUCCCGGACUGCGUGUAUCCGAAGAAAAAGCAUCGGCUAACUCCGUGCCAGCAGCCGCGGUAAUACGGAGGAUGCGAGCGUUAUCCGGAUUUAUUGGGUUUAAAGGGUGCGUAGGCGGUCCGUUAAGUCAGCGGUAAAAUUGCGGGGCUCAACCCCGUCGAGCCGUUGAAACUGGCAGACUGGAGUGGGCGAGAAGUACGCGGAAUGCGCGGUGUAGCGGUGAAAUGCAUAGAUAUCGCGCAGAACUCCGAUUGCGAAGGCAGCGUACCGGCGCCAGACUGACGCUGAGGCACGAAAGCGUGGGGAUCGAACAGGAUUAGAUACCCGGGUAGUC
This 459-nucleotide ribosomal RNA is filed under the name uncultured bacterium. Its description in RNAcentral is "partial 16S ribosomal RNA". It matches the Rfam family "Bacterial small subunit ribosomal RNA", at positions 338 to 795 of the family's 1533-position model. The record is from RNAcentral.